AGAAGCUCCCUUCAAAUAGUAGCAAGUAUACAUACUCAUGCGACGGUCACACCUUCAACUUCCUUUUAGAUAGUGGCUUUGUCUUCCUAGUUGUUGCUGAUGAACCAACAGGAAGAAGUGUACCGUUUGUGUUUCUUGAAAGGGUUAAGGAUGAUUUCAAGAAACGUUAUGGUUCAAGUAUCAAAAAUGAUGGCGAUCCACAUCCUCUUGCUGAUGGUGAUGAAGAAGAUGAUGAUCUAUUCGGGGAUCGUUUUAGCAUUGCGUACAAUCUUGACAGAGAAUUUGGGCCAAAACUUAAAGAGCACAUGGAAUACUGUAUGAACCAUCCUGAUGAAAUGAGCAAGCUGUCUAAAUUGAAGGCUCAAAUCACAGAAGUCAAAGGAAUAAUGAUGGACAACAUUGAGAAGGUUUUGGAUCGGGGUGAGAAGAUUGAACUGCUAGUGGAUAAAACCGAGAACCUUCAGUUCCAGGCUGACAGCUUCCAGAGGCAAGGAAGGCAGCUUCGUCGCAAGAUGUGGUUUCAGAACCUUCAAAUGAAACUGAUGGUUGGUGGUGCUAUUGUAAUUUUCAUUAUCAUCGUUUGGCUUUUCGCUUGUGGAGGUUUCAGUUGUUGAAAAGAGAUUUCGACGUAAUCAUUUGGUAAUAGUACACUUUUAUCUCUCAUUUCUGUAGUGUACAAAACCUUUCUUGUAAAUGUGAGACAAUGCUGCGGAUGCUUUGUUUUGGUGACUUAAUACUAUGGUAUGGUACCUAUUAGUAUACGUAUGGUUAGCUUUCGUGUGUAAUUUAGCGUAACGAUUCAUCAUACGAUUGUAAAGAGUGGCUAGACGUACAUACCACAACGCGUACAGG
This 852-nucleotide unclassified non-coding RNA is filed under the name Hevea brasiliensis (rubber tree). Lineage: Eukaryota; Viridiplantae; Streptophyta; Magnoliopsida; Malpighiales; Euphorbiaceae. The record is from RNAcentral.